GUACUUCCGGUGGAUUACCGGAAAUGAUUGUGCGCCCCAAUGCGCGGCCUGGGCUGGUUGCUAGGAGACGGUGUGCGGUGGAUAAGAGGGACUGACAGAGCUGAGUUCCAUCUGCCAUCAGAUGUCUUUCUGCCUGACCGAGCUGCACCUGUGGUCUAUGAAGAAUACCUUACAAGUCAAGGAUACCGAUGUUGGCACCUAUCAAUACUAUGAUAAGAGAGAGGCAGUUUCACCGUCAGACUGCUGUUACUUAGAAGAGAAGCAGCAUAUGACAGAGGCUCGAGAAUACUUGUGGACACCCAAGAAUAGACGCCCAGCUAAACUUCGAGACACCCUCAAGGAGUUUGAGGAACUGCUGCAUUGCAGCCAUUGUGUGCUGAGCAAAUUCAAGAACAAGAACUUUUGUCAGCUUUUCUUUGGAUCAGGUGUACUGGUGUCAUUAAGCCUCUCUGGGCCACAUCUGGAAAAAGUCAUGAUCGACAGAACCUUAGUGGGAAGAUUCAUCUCUGACACCAUCAAUGAUGCUGUACUUGCAGACAAUUUUAUGAUCAUAGCUUUUCUGGAGACCAGCAAGCUUUGCUUUGUUCAAUUUACAAAGAAACAAAGUUCCCCAGAUGUUGACAGAAGAAUCGAAAAGCUUUCCUCUUCUGAUCUUAAGAUUUCUUACAUUGAUUUACCAGGACCUACAGGACGGAGGGUGGAACGCCGUUUGGCCAUUAACCAUAUGCAGGAUAUAGUGAUUUGCUGGUGGAAGACAGCUAAUGGAGACGUUUGGCCUUGGUCUCCAAUAUCCAGCGAAAGUGACCGAGCUAAUGUGGUGUUGUUAAGCUGCACAAAUGGCAGACUUGAGAUUUUAAGCUUCAUACGCACAGAAGGCGAUCCACUUGAUGCUGGUUUCAGUAUUAAUCAGCCCUAUCAGGUCCAUACAGUAGAAUGCUUUAUUGGUCCAGACAAAGAUCCAAUGGCAGAUAGCUGCAUCUAUGAGUGUGCUCGGAAUAAAUUGCAACGUGUCGCAGUCGUUAGCAUCCCAUUGAGGUCCAAAGCCACUUGCUGCAGCAGAAAUAUUAUAGAAGACAAACUUGCAUUAGGUUGUGAGGAUUCUUCACUGAUUUUAUAUGAUGCUCAUCGCAAAGUAACUUUACUAGCUCAAGCUGAUCUGAUCCCUUCUUUGAUAGCAUGGCAUCCUGAUGGUGCAUUAAUUAUGGUGAGCAGCUGUCAAGGUGAAGUUCAGUGUUACGACAUGGCACUGUCACCAAUGAAGAUGCAAUUGUUAGAGGAGGACAUAAAACCUGUGAGCAAGCUUCAACUCAACCAACAUUUUGCUAUAACAAGCAGGUUGGUUCAAAUUCAGUGGACAGUUCCCCCGGUAAUUCCUCCGAGCAACAACAGCCUCAAUGUGCAUGAUCUCAUGUUUCUGAGAUUUGAUAAAGGACCUGUUGGAGUAUUUUGUUUGAAACUAGGUGCCAUAUUGAGAGGACAGCUGGGUCCCACUGAACUCAUCUGCCAAUAUAUUCGUUAUGAGCAAAUCGAUGAAGCUGUUAAUAUCUUGUGCGGCAUGAACUGGAAUACUGUGGGCUCACAGUGCUACAUUUGCCUCAUUGCCAUUGUGGAUCACCUCCUUAAACAGAAGCUUACACCAGAAAGAGAAUCAUAUCUUGAAGCAAGUCUUGGAACAUUUUAUGCCCCUACAAGACCCUUGACUGAUACAACUGUGUUAGAAUACAGGGAUCCGAUCAGUUGCUAUGCCAGGCGUUUUUUUCACCAUCUGCUCAGGUUCCAGAGGUUUGAAAAGGCUUUCCUGCUGGCGGUAGAUAUAGGUUCACGAGACCUCUUCAUGGACAUCUAUUAUGUGGCCUUGGAUAAGGGUGAGUUGGCACUGGCUGAAGUGGCUAAGAAGAAAGCUAAUGAGAUUGAUGCGGAAUCAAUAACAGCUGAAGUUGUGCCAAUUGAGAUGGAAUUAACUUGGAAACUCUGGAGUUUCCUUUGUCAGGAGACAGUGCAGAAACACCUCCUGCAUCAUUUAAUGCUGAAAGAUCAAAGAAUAGGAAUCCUUCUUCAGGAUCAGGCAGCAACAGCAGCCAUUCAUUACAGCUUGGUGCACAGAACAAUCCUUUUGGCAGUUCUUCUUGCCAUAACAUGACCAGUGACAUAGGGAGUGAACUUGGGUUCAAUGCCUAUGCGACAGCCUUGACAGAUGACCCUUUGGCCUGGACCCAAGCAGGGAAUUCUUUUGAUGGAGACAGAGACCCACAGGAACUUGAAAACAGCAGCACACUGAAAGUGGUACACUUUGGUCUAGUGUGAAUGGAGUUUUUAUAUUGAUAUAGAGAAUUUAGUAGUGACUUUAAAUAAAAGUGGUCUCUAAAUGGCAUGGUAGACAAAGUAAAUGUGAUGAUUUUUAAUUACUGUUGUCCUCAUCUAUUUAAAGGCAUCCUGCUUUUUCCAUUGUUCAGUCAGUAUCAUAUAAAACACGAACUGCAAAAAAGGUUGCCACGGUUUCAAAAGAAUGAGAUGACAUUUUAAUCUAAUCAUUCCAUUACUUCUCUCCUGCAAAGAUAUUUUGGUGGUACAUAAGCUUAUUCUAUACACUUCUUGAAAUAGUGGAUAUUCCUUAUAUAAUCUUGAAUAAGUGAGGUGGGGAAAUACAUUGUCUAUUAUUUCGUUAUGUUGCUGAAGUUGAAUUACUUCCAAUUUUGUUCAGUAACUUCUCCCUAUAGCCACAAAAAUAUUAAUAAUCUGCAAUAUUUAGUUCCACAUAAACAAAUAGUAAACACCUAGUUUUAGUAUCUAGUUGUUUGUGAUAUAAACAAAGCUCAUAAUGGACAGAAUUUAAUUCAUUGUGACUUCCAAUGUGAAGGAAUUUGUAUCUCAUUAUGGACAAAUAAAUGGAUAUAAUCUUAA
Carcharodon carcharias (great white shark) is the source of this 2901-nucleotide RNA transcript. It is a transcript of the gene named WD repeat containing planar cell polarity effector, with no coding region annotated. The transcript has 19 exons. NCBI's taxonomy places the organism in Eukaryota, Metazoa, Chordata, Chondrichthyes, Lamniformes, Lamnidae. The record is from RefSeq and is a predicted model, not a curated record.